Molecule: ribosomal RNA, 301 nt
Filed under: uncultured bacterium
Lineage: Bacteria
Description: partial 16S ribosomal RNA
Rfam family: Bacterial small subunit ribosomal RNA
Source: RNAcentral
CAGUAGCCACGGUAAUACGAAGGGUGCAAGCGUUACUCGGAAUUACUGGGCGUAAAGCGUGCGUAGGUGGUGGUUUAAGUCUGCUGUGAAAUCCCCGGGCUCAACCUGGGAAUGGCAGUGGAUACUGGCUCGCUAGAGUGUGUCAGAGGAUGGUGGAAUUCCCGGUGUAGCGGUGAAAUGCGUAGAGAUCGGGAGGAACAUCAGUGGCGAAGGCGGCCAUCUGGGACAACACUGACGCUGAGGCACGAAAGCGUGGGGAGCAAACGGGAUUAGAUACCCGAGUAGUCCAUGUCUCUUAUAC